GUGCCAGCCGCCGCGGUAAUACGUAGGGGGCCAGCGUUGUCCGGAAUCAUUGGGCGUAAAGCGCGCGUAGGCGGCCAGACAAGUCCGGUGUGAAAGUCACAGGCUCAACCUGUGAAUGCCGCUGGAAACUGUCUGGCUAGAGUCCGGAAGGGGCGAGUGGAAUUCCUGGUGUAGCGGUGAAAUGCGCAGAUAUCAGGAGGAACACCUAUGGCGAAGGCAGCUCGCUGGGACGGUACUGACGCUGAGGCGCGAAAGCGUGGGGAGCGAACAGGAUUAGAUACCCCUGUAGUCC
This 292-nucleotide ribosomal RNA is filed under the name uncultured bacterium. RNAcentral describes it as "partial 16S ribosomal RNA". It matches the Rfam family "Bacterial small subunit ribosomal RNA", at positions 505 to 796 of the family's 1533-position model. The record is from RNAcentral.